Molecule: ribosomal RNA, 379 nt
Filed under: uncultured cyanobacterium
Lineage: Bacteria; Bacillati; Cyanobacteriota
Description: bacterial SSU rRNA
Rfam family: Bacterial small subunit ribosomal RNA
Source: RNAcentral
CGAAAGCCUGACGGAGCAACGCCGCGUGAGGGAAGAAGGUCUGUGGAUUGUAAACCUCUUUUCUAUGGGAAGAAGCUCUGACGGUACCAUAGGAAUCAGCAUCGGCUAACUCCGUGCCAGCAGCCGCGGUAAUACGGAGGAUGCAAGCGUUAUCCGGAAUUAUUGGGCGUAAAGCGUCCGCAGGCGGCUAGACAAGUCUGCUGUCAAAGACCACAGCUCAACUGUGGGCAGGCAGUGGAAACUGUAGAGCUAGAGUACGGUAGGGGUAGAGGGAAUUCCCAGUGUAGCGGUGAAAUGCGUAGAUAUUGGGAAGAACACCAGUGGCGAAGGCGCUCUACUGGGCCGUAACUGACGCUGAGGGACGAAAGCUAGGGGAGCG